CCUUUAUACAUAUCCCCAAUUUCAACUCUCUCUCUCUCUCCUGCACCUCACCCUACAUAUCCCCAAUUUCAUCUCUCUCUCUCUCUCCUGCACCUCACCCUACAUAUCCCCAAUUUCAUCUCUCUCUCUCCUGCACCUCACCCUCUUCUUCCAACACGUCCCAAAGUUUGAGAUGUCCACAAUUUCGCACUCUUCUCGCCUUCUCCCUCGCAUUCUCCACUGCUCCAGCAGUCACCGCCCAAAGCUGCCGAAAUUCGCUGUCGUCACUGCCUCUCCGUCGCCGCCGCUGUCCGCCCGCUCCGGCGGUCAGCUCCUCCGUCUGUUGCGCUGCUACUCCCAACGUUGAGACAAAGGCUAAACUUAAAGAUUGAAACUUUGUACAGAGCACGGUGAUUUAGAAUUAUCCUAAAUGAAUGCAAGGAAUUCAAGGCUGGGAAUUGAUCGGUGAUUACCUUCUUCGGCGGUAGAAAACUCUCUUCUCCAACUCGGUUCUUUCUCUAGAUUUUAGUUCCCGAUUUUUCUUGGUAUUGAAUUUAUGUGUAGAAAGAUCGUGGGAUUGACUGGAUAUAUAUAGGCAAAACUAAAGAUAUUGAUGGAUUUGGUGGUUGGAGAGAUUUUAGGGAGUGGAGAUAUGGGAGAAACCGUAUCAUAUUUUGAUAGUUUGGAUUUGUUUGAUAUUUAUAUGCAGAUCACGGAGGAGGAAAAUCUUUGUAAAAUCUCUAAUUAAAUUUGAAUUAUGGAAUAAUUGGUGACCAAGUUAGCUAGGAAAA
Long non-coding RNA from Salvia splendens (bonfire salvia), 770 nucleotides. RefSeq lists it as uncharacterized. The transcript has 2 exons. Lineage: Eukaryota; Viridiplantae; Streptophyta; Magnoliopsida; Lamiales; Lamiaceae. The record is from RefSeq and is a predicted model, not a curated record.